RNAcentral lists this ribosomal RNA (253 nucleotides) under uncultured bacterium. RNAcentral's name for it is "partial 16S ribosomal RNA". It matches the Rfam family "Bacterial small subunit ribosomal RNA", at positions 524 to 776 of the family's 1533-position model. The record is from RNAcentral.
UACGUAGGGUCCGAGCGUUGUCCGGAAUUAUUGGGCGUAAAGAGCUCGUAGGCGGUCUGUCGCGUCGGCUGUGAAAACUCAGGGCUCAACCCUGAGCCUGCAGUCGAUACGGGCAGACUAGAGUUCGGUAGGGGAGACUGGAAUUCCUGGUGUAGCGGUGAAAUGCGCAGAUAUCAGGAGGAACACCGGUGGCGAAGGCGGGUCUCUGGGCCGAUACUGACGCUGAGGAGCGAAAGCGUGGGGAGCGAACAGG